Molecule: transfer RNA, 63 nt
Filed under: bovine gut metagenome
Rfam family: tRNA
About the family: Transfer RNA (tRNA) molecules are approximately 80 nucleotides in length. Their secondary structure includes four short double-helical elements and three loops (D, anti-codon, and T loops). Further hydrogen bonds mediate the characteristic L-shaped molecular structure. tRNAs have two regions of fundamental functional importance: the anti-codon, which is responsible for specific mRNA codon recognition, and the 3' end, to which the tRNAs corresponding amino acid is attached (by aminoacyl-tRNA synthetases). tRNAs cope with the degeneracy of the genetic code in two manners: having more than one tRNA (with a specific anti-codon) for a particular amino acid; and 'wobble' base-pairing, i.e. permitting non-standard base-pairing at the 3rd anti-codon position.
Source: RNAcentral
UUUAGCUCAAUUGGAUAGAGCGUUUGGCUUCGGACCAAAAGGUUGAGGGUUCAACUCCUUUAA